GGUGAGUAAUGUCUGGGAAACUGCCUGAUGGAGGGGGAUAACUACUGGAAACGGUGGCUAAUACCGCAUAACGUCGCAAGACCAAAGAGGGGGACCUUCGGGCCUCUUGCCAUCAGAUGUGCCCAGAUGGGAUUAGCUUGUUGGUGAGGUAACGGCUCACCAAGGCGACGAUCCCUAGCUGGUCUGAGAGGAUGACCAGCCACACUGGAACUGAGACACGGUCCAGACUCCUACGGGAGGCAGCAGUGGGGAAUAUUGCACAAUGGGCGCAAGCCUGAUGCAGCCAUGCCGCGUGUAUGAAGAAGGCCUUCGGGUUGUAAAGUACUUUCAGCGGGGAGGAAGGUGUUGUGGUUAAUAACCGCAGCAAUUGACGUUACCCGCAGAAGAAGCACCGGCUAACUCCGUGCCAGCAGCCGCGGUAAUACGGAGGGUGCAAGCGUUAAUCGGAAUUACUGGGCGUAAAGCGCACGCAGGCGGUCUGUCAAGUCGGAUGUGAAAUCCCCGGGCUCAACCUGGGAACUGCAUUCGAAACUGGCAGGCUUGAGUCUUGUAGAGGGGGGUAGAAUUCCAGGUGUAGCGGUGAAAUGCGUAGAGAUCUGGAGGAAUACCGGUGGCGAAGGCGGCCCCCUGGACAAAGACUGACGCUCAGGUGCGAAAGCGUGGGGAGCAAACAGGAUUAGAUACCCUGGUAGUCCACGCCGUAAACGAUGUCUACUUGGAGGUUGUGCCCUUGAGGCGUGGCUUCCGGAGCUAACGCGUUAAGUAGACCGCCUGGGGAGUACGGCCGCAAGGUUAAAACUCAAAUGAAUUGACGGGGGCCCGCACAAGCGGUGGAGCAUGUGGUUUAAUUCGAUGCAACGCGAAGAACCUUACCUGGUCUUGACAUCCACAGAACUUUCCAGAGAUGGAUUGGUGCCUUCGGGAACUGUGAGACAGGUGCUGCAUGGCUGUCGUCAGCUCGUGUUGUGAAAUGUUGGGUUAAGUCCCGCAACGAGCGCAACCCUUAUCCUUUGUUGCCAGCGGUUAGG
RNAcentral lists this ribosomal RNA (1028 nucleotides) under Salmonella enterica subsp. enterica serovar Newport. RNAcentral describes it as "bacterial SSU rRNA". It matches the Rfam family "Bacterial small subunit ribosomal RNA", at positions 105 to 1129 of the family's 1533-position model. The record is from RNAcentral. Lineage: Bacteria; Pseudomonadati; Pseudomonadota; Gammaproteobacteria; Enterobacterales; Enterobacteriaceae.